CCCACCUUCAUCACUACCCAUUACUUCAUUCCCAUCAAAUUCUCUCUCUCUCUCUCUCUCUUUGUUUGUUUUGUGUAAAUCAGAAGAAGAAGAAGAAAGAAAGAAAGAAAAAGAAAAAUGGCAGACGAAGGAACAACAAAUUGCAUCGAUAUCCUCCUCGCUAUUCUCCUCCCUCCUCUUGGUGUCUUUCUCAAAUUUGGAUGCCAAGUUGAGUUUUGGAUCUGCUUGGUCUUAACUUUCUUUGGUUACAUCCCUGGCAUUAUUUAUGCUGUUUAUGCCAUCACCAAGUGAUCAUCCAAUUCAAAGGAUUGAUGCAAGAAAUUAUUGGAACUCAUCAUCAUGCAUGGUCUCUCCUCACCGACACUCUCCCUUCCUUUUUUCUAAUUUCUCUUGAUCUCUGUUUUGUGUGUGUUUGCUUGUGUGAUAAUCAUCAUCCCAUCCAUCAAAGACAUCUACACAAUUGUUGCUUCUAAUUUCUUUUUUCUCUUUUGUAAUUUGUAAUUUUGAAUUAUUUGGGGGUAAUUUAAUCAUGUGUUGUUCUUGGUUGUAUUGAUUGAAUUGGUUGCUGUAAAUCAGAAAAAAACAAAAAAGAAGGAUAAGGACAAAGUAAGUUUGUUGAAGAAUUGGAAUGUGUUGAGUGUUGAUUA
This is a long non-coding RNA of Cucumis sativus (cucumber), 647 nucleotides long. RefSeq annotates it as hydrophobic protein LTI6B. Lineage: Eukaryota; Viridiplantae; Streptophyta; Magnoliopsida; Cucurbitales; Cucurbitaceae. The record is from RefSeq and is a predicted model, not a curated record. The transcript is spliced from 3 exons.